Molecule: ribosomal RNA, 500 nt
Filed under: uncultured bacterium
Lineage: Bacteria
Description: partial 16S ribosomal RNA
Rfam family: Bacterial small subunit ribosomal RNA
Source: RNAcentral
AUUGAACGCUGGCGGAAUGCUUUACACAUGCAAGUCGAACGGCAGCACGGACUUCGGUCUGGUGGCGAGUGGCGAACGGGUGAGUAAUGUAUCGGAACGUGCCCAGUCGUGGGGGAUAACGUAGUGAAUAUUACGCUAAUACCGCAUACGAUCUAUGGAUGAAAGCGGGGGAUCGCAAGACCUCGCGCGAUUGGAGCGGCCGAUAUCAGAUUAGGUAGUUGGUGGGGUAAAGGCCCACCAAGCCAACGAUCUGUAGCUGGUCUGAGAGGACGACCAGCCACACUGGAACUGAGACACGGUCCAGACUCCUACGGGAGGCAGCAGUGGGGAAUUUUGGACAAUGGGCGAAAGCCUGAUCCAGCCAUUCCGCGUGCAGGAUAAAGGCCCUCGGGUUGUAAACUGCUUUUGUACAGAACGAAAAGGUUUCUACUAAUACUAGGAGCUCAUGACGGUACUGUAAGAAUAAGCACCGGCUAACUACGUGCCAGCAGCCGCCGUAA